UACGUAGGUGGCGAGCGUUGUCCGGAUUUACUGGGCGUAAAGGGAGCGUAGGCGGACUUUUAAGUGAGAUGUGAAAUACCCGGGCUCAACUUGGGUGCUGCAUUUCAAACUGGUCGACUUGAGUGCAGAAGAGGGAAGUGGAAUUCCAUGUGUAGCGGUGAAAUGCGUAGAGAUUAGGAAGAACACCAGUGGCGAAGGCGAUUCUCUGGACUGUAACUGACGCUGAGGCUCGAAAGCGUGGGGAGCAAACAGGAUUAGAUACCCU
This 265-nucleotide ribosomal RNA is filed under the name uncultured prokaryote. RNAcentral describes it as "partial 16S ribosomal RNA". It matches the Rfam family "Bacterial small subunit ribosomal RNA", at positions 524 to 788 of the family's 1533-position model. The record is from RNAcentral.